GGCCUCAUCUCUUCAUUGAGCUGUCACCGCAGCAUCUUCUGACCAUUGAGAGCAGCCUCUAAACCUAUCUUGUUCAUGGGCACUUGCAUAGUGCCUGACUCAUAAUAAAUGUUGAGCAGAUACUUAUUAACUUCUCUUAAAAACAAAACAAAACUGUCUUCUUAUUCCCUUGCCUGUAAGCUCUGUAUUGCCUGUCAGACUAGGCCAAGCACACUGUGCCUAGCACAUAUGUUGCUGUUUCUGAAUUGAAUGAAAAUGGGAAGCAUAAAAGCAGAGAAAAGGAUAAAUACUCUACUCCUGGGUUUCCUUGGGAACUAUGGCUAAACAUCAUCCUGAUUUGAUCUUUUGCCACAAGCAGGCUGGUGUUGCCAUCGGAAGACUGUGUGAAAAAUGUGAUGGCAAGUGUGUGAUUUGUGACUCCCCUGUGUGUCCCUGCACUCUGAUGCGCAUGUGAUGAGUGUAACUAUGGAUCUUACCAGGGACGCUGUGUGAUCUGUGGAGGCCCUGGGGUCUCUGAUACCUAUUAUUGUAAGGAGUGUACCAUCCAGGAGAAGGAUAGGGAUGGCUGCCCAAAGAUUGUUAAUUUGGGGAGCUCUAAGACAGAUCUCUUCUAUGAACGCAAAAAAUAUGGCUUCGAGAAAAGGUGACUGGGGGGUGGCCCCUUUCUUCCCCACACAUCAAGCUGCUGCAGCUGCCAGAAAAGAUCCCUACUACUACCAGCAGCAAGGGAGCAGAGCCCAGAGCAUCACCGGGAGUGCCUGCUAGUGUACUGGCAGCUUGCCACUCUCCUCUCACCCAGACAUGUGGCGUGGAUGGAAAAGGAUUCUGCACAGGGCACCCUAGCACACUGUAUGGGAGAAACAUUGAUAGAUUCGUUAAUGGUGUUUCUUGAAUGUUAGAAGCAAAGAUCUUUUCUCCAUAUUGAUAUGUUCUCCCGCAACCAAGAUCUUCUAAAAAGAAAUAAUAUUUUAGUCUUCUGCUUGAGGAGUUGACUGUGAAGCUACGCCCAGUGAAAAACAUGUUCUUGCAGCAGCUCUGGUGGCAGCUGUCCUUGAGGAACCUUCGGUGCGUGGUGGGAAGCUACCAGCACAAGAAAUGUAGGCACUUCCUCUUUUUUUUAUUUUGAAAAGAUGGGAUUUCACCAUGUUGGUCAGGCUGCUCUUAAACUCCCGAC
Molecule: RNA transcript, 1174 nt
Organism: Cebus imitator (Panamanian white-faced capuchin)
Lineage: Eukaryota; Metazoa; Chordata; Mammalia; Primates; Cebidae
Gene name: PHD finger-like domain-containing protein 5A
Exons: 1
Source: RefSeq, a predicted model, not a curated record